CACGGCGCAACAGAAAGCCGCCGUCAAGGAAGGCUUUCUUAGCCGUGGAAAAAUUCCAGGAGUUCUAGGAUGUGUGGACGGGAGUCUGAUAGCCAUCGUUCGCCCUAAGAAGCUCGGCCCCGGCGAAACGGAAUCGUACUGGAGCCGUAAAGGGUAUUACGCCCUCAACUGCAUGGUCGUGUGCGACGCGAAGCUGAAUAUCCUGGAAAUUGACCCACGGUUUCCGGGAUCGUGCCACGAUUCUUUCGUCUGGAGGCAUUCUGCAUUUCGCCGCCGCCUCACUCGUGGCCUGUUACUUCAUGGAGAAGUCUUGCUUGGGGACUCUGGGUACCCGCUAGAGCCAUGGAUCAUGACUCCUGUGCCUGGUCACCCAAAUCGCCUCACG
This is a long non-coding RNA of Dermacentor albipictus, 385 nucleotides long. RefSeq lists it as uncharacterized. The record is from RefSeq and is a predicted model, not a curated record. Lineage: Eukaryota; Metazoa; Arthropoda; Arachnida; Ixodida; Ixodidae.